AGUGAACGCUGGCGGUAGGCCUAACACAUGCAAGUCGAACGGCAGCACAGUAAGAGCUUGCUCUUACGGGUGGCGAGUGGCGGACGGGUGGGGAAUACAUCGGAAUCUACUUUUUCGUGGGGGAUAACGUAGGGAAACUUACGCUAAUACCGCAUACGACCUACGGGUGAAAGCAGGGGAUCUUCGGACCUUGCGCGAUUGAAUGAGCCGAUGUCGGAUUAGCUAGUUGGCGGGGUAAAGGCCCACCAAGGCGACGAUCCGUAGCUGGUCUGAGAGGAUGAUCAGCCACACUGGAACUGAGACACGGUCCAGACUCCUACGGGAGGCAGCAGUGGGGAAUAUUGGACAAUGGGCGCAAGCCUGAUCCAGCCAUACCGCGUGGGUGAAGAAGGCCUUCGGGUUGUAAAGCCCUUUUGUUGGGAAAGAAAAGCAGCAGGUUAAUACCCCGCUGUUCUGACGGUACCCAAAGAAUAAGCACCGGCUAACCUCGUG
Molecule: ribosomal RNA, 492 nt
Filed under: uncultured bacterium
Lineage: Bacteria
Description: partial 16S ribosomal RNA
Rfam family: Bacterial small subunit ribosomal RNA
Source: RNAcentral